This 162-nucleotide unclassified non-coding RNA is filed under the name uncultured Hydropisphaera. RNAcentral's name for it is "sequence contains ITS1". The record is from RNAcentral. Lineage: Eukaryota; Fungi; Ascomycota; Sordariomycetes; Hypocreales; Bionectriaceae.
UAGAGUUGAAAACUCCCAAACCCAUUGUGAACAUACCUCUGUUGCUUCGGCGAUGCGCCCCGGGCGCGCCCUCACAGGCGUGCCCCGGACCAAGGCGCUCGCCGGGGGACCGAAACUCUUGUUUUCUUACAGAAUCUCUGAGUAUGAUUAUAAAUCAAAUCA